UAUCAUUUCUUUUCCCCUCUAAAAAGAAAAAGGAAAAUGAAUAGUUCAUCACCAGCGAAUUCAUCGAUAUCAACAACAGCAAUCGUUGGAGGAGGAGGAGCAAGUGGUGGCACUAAUGCUGCUUUGGAUGAUUUCCAUUUCCCAUCGGAUCUUAUAUCGAUCCAAGACCGCAAGGAUGAGGCCACGCUUGUUCUAAAAUCGAUUUGAUGGCUGCUCUCAAUGAAGAGGUUAAAUCAUUGGAUGAAGAUAACUGGAAGUUCGAAGGCCCUCGUUCCCGCAUCCACCUCAUAUCAAGACCAGGUGGAUUUCUGCAGAAGCAGACAGAGUUUACAACGAAUCGUAGCAUGGCUCCACCAAAAUGAUUUUCAGAUAUCUUGAGAUUGGACUUCAUAGCUAAAAUAUUGGCUCUAGGAAACAACUCUAUAUAUCUAUACAUUGCUGAACCGCAUUAUGUAUUCAAAUUCAAGCCACCCAUUUGAAGAAUUACAUCACUUUUGGCUGUAGUUAAUAAGCAAAGACAGUUUUGCCUUUACAUUUUGACUUUUGAAUACUCCUUAAAUGAUCAAACCUGUCAAUCCGUUGUAGUGUGGAAUUCGAUUCGUGUUUACAGUCUGUUUCGAAGUUACAGUA
Molecule: long non-coding RNA, 630 nt
Organism: Hibiscus syriacus
Lineage: Eukaryota; Viridiplantae; Streptophyta; Magnoliopsida; Malvales; Malvaceae
Exons: 3
Source: RefSeq, a predicted model, not a curated record